Molecule: small RNA, 176 nt
Filed under: Arabidopsis thaliana (thale cress)
Lineage: Eukaryota; Viridiplantae; Streptophyta; Magnoliopsida; Brassicales; Brassicaceae
Description: ATSL134760
Source: RNAcentral
AAUUAGGGAUGUUAUAACUUAUACUUACCAUCCCAAAAUAAAGUCAAGUGCACGGUCGAUGGACGCACCGUCUUGUGAAUCAGCAAGGUCAUGUGCUUCGAACCAAGCAGGACUAUGUGCAAUUCCGAUCUUCCCACCUUUACACUAUGGUCAUAAUUUAACAUAAUACAAAACAA